This 138-nucleotide ribosomal RNA is filed under the name uncultured eukaryote. Its description in RNAcentral is "partial 18S ribosomal RNA". It matches the Rfam family "Eukaryotic small subunit ribosomal RNA", at positions 1299 to 1458 of the family's 1831-position model. The record is from RNAcentral.
UGGUGGAGUGAUUUGUCUGGUUAAUUCCGUUAACGAACGAGACCUCAGCCUGCUAGUUAGUUUCUCCAAUCUUUGAUUGAGAGAAACAUCUUAGAGGGACUCUCGGUUAUUAACCGAUGGAAGUUUGAGGUAAUAACA